RNAcentral lists this long non-coding RNA (480 nucleotides) under Olea europaea subsp. europaea. The record is from RNAcentral. Lineage: Eukaryota; Viridiplantae; Streptophyta; Magnoliopsida; Lamiales; Oleaceae.
ACUACAAANCAAGCUUCGCUAAGUGCUCUCAAACACUUGAUUUUGUCUGAUAAGAAUCUUCCAGGUAAGAAAAGUUUGUAUAUAAGAUUGGGAUGCUGAGGGGAUUGGCCAGAUAUUAAACGUCCUGGCUGGGAUCCAUCGACCGGAUCUGAUGCAUCGUCUCCCCUAUCAUAGUAUCAAUCCCUCCGAGUACGCAAUUCGGUAAUGCAGCGUCAUUUUUGUCUCUUCCAGAUUGUUUUGUCAAUGUGUCUUGUUUCCCUCAGGUUCAUAAAUUUGCUCUUCUAUACCAAGGCACUGUAUCAUAUAUUGUUAUGUACAUUCCAUGUUGAUCGAUUAUUUGUUACUUAUCAGUAAGGCAAAUUCUGGAGGGUUACUACUUUCAACUCUCUUCUUCAUAGUUUAAAAAACAAAAUUGACAAUGAACUGAUGAAGGCUCAGAGAAAAAAAGUGACUGAAUAAAGAAAAGAAAAAGGAGCUGGA